UACGAAGGGUGCAAGCGUUACUCGGAAUUACUGGGCGUAAAGCGUGCGUAGGUGGUUUUUUAAGUCCGUUGUGAAAGCCCUGGGCUCAACCUGGGAAUGGCAGUGGAUACUGGAAAGCUAGAGUGCGGUAGAGGGUAGUGGAAAUUCCCCGGGUGUAGCAGUGAAAAUGCGUAGAGAUCCGGAAGAACACCGGUGGCGAAGGCGGUAGCUGGGGCAGUUGCUGACACUGAGGCGCGACAGCGUGGGGGAGCAAACAGGG
This 259-nucleotide ribosomal RNA is filed under the name uncultured bacterium. RNAcentral's name for it is "partial 16S ribosomal RNA". It matches the Rfam family "Bacterial small subunit ribosomal RNA", at positions 524 to 777 of the family's 1533-position model. The record is from RNAcentral.